GGCGACUGAAGCGGGAAGAGCACACCGUGUGAAUCUGUACCAAUAUUGGUGCCGAGUUGUGGUCUGUAGAAGCAUCGUCGGUCAACGUUCCGGGCCAAGUCCCUUGGAAAAGGGCAGCAGAGAGGGUGACACUCCCGUUCUUGCCUGGAAUGUGUGAUCAUGGCACAUGCAUUCAACGAGUCGAGUUGCUUGGGAUUGCAGCUCAAAGUGGGUGGUAAAUUCCAUCUAAUGCUAAAUAUCGGUGGGAGACCGAUAGCGUACAAGUACCGUGAGGGAAAGAUGCAAAGAACUUUGAAAAGAGAGUUAAAGAGUACCUGAAGUUGCUGAAAGGGAAGCGAAGGAAACCAGUGCCAUUUUGUACUAUUUUCUCUUGCUGCUUGCGGCAGGAGCGUGUGGUACAGAGUUGGUCAGCAUGGCUUUGGACCGGAGUAAAUCGCAGUUUGGGAGGCAGGUAAUCUUUACCGAUCAUCAUCCUGUUGUACUCUGGUCUGGAGUGAGGCUAGUAUGUGUGAUGCUGACGAAAUGGUUUUCUUCUCCCCGUCUUGAAACACGGACCAAGGAGUCUAACAUUUGUGCGAGUAUAGGAGUGGCAAACUCCCAUGCGCAAUGAAAGUAACAGUGGUAGGACCUUCUAGGGCACUAUCCGCCGGCCACAAUCCCUCGGGAGAAAGGUCUGAGUGUGAGCAAAAAUGUUGGGACCCGAAAGAUGGUGAACUAUGCGUGAAUAGGGCGAAGUCAGGGGAAACUCUGAUGGAGCUCGUAGGGGUUCUGACGUGCAAAUCG
This 783-nucleotide ribosomal RNA is filed under the name Chaetoceros wighamii. Its description in RNAcentral is "eukaryotic LSU rRNA". It matches the Rfam family "Eukaryotic large subunit ribosomal RNA", at positions 88 to 900 of the family's 3401-position model. Lineage: Eukaryota; Bacillariophyta; Thalassiosirophyceae; Chaetocerotales; Chaetocerotaceae. The record is from RNAcentral.